AGUGAACGCUGGCGGUAGGCCUAACACAUGCAAGUCGAACGGCAGCACAGUAAGAGCUUGCUCUUACGGGUGGCGAGUGGCGGACGGGUGAGGAAUACAUCGGAAUCUACUUUUUCGUGGGGGAUAACGUAGGGAAACUUACGCUAAUACCGCAUACGACCUACGGGUGAAAGCAGGGGAUCUUCGGACCUUGCGCGAUUGAAUGAGCCGAUGUCGGAUUAGCUAGUUGGCGGGGUAAAGGCCCACCAAGGCGACGAUCCGUAGCUGGUCUGAGAGGAUGAUCGGCCACACUGGAACUGAGACACGGUCCAGACUCCUACGGGAGGCAGCAGUGGGGAAUAUUGGACAAUGGGCGCAAGCCUGAUCCGGCCAUACCGCGUGGGUGAAGAAGGCCUUCGGGUUGUAAAGCCCUUUUGUUGGGAAAGAAAAGCAGCAGGUUAAUACCCCGCCGUUCUGACGGUACCCAAAGAAUAAGCACCGGCUAACUUCGUG
This 492-nucleotide ribosomal RNA is filed under the name uncultured bacterium. Its description in RNAcentral is "partial 16S ribosomal RNA". It matches the Rfam family "Bacterial small subunit ribosomal RNA", at positions 29 to 507 of the family's 1533-position model. The record is from RNAcentral.